This 862-nucleotide long non-coding RNA is filed under the name Setaria italica (foxtail millet). Its description in RNAcentral is "long non-coding RNA (SITA_LNC003037)". The record is from RNAcentral. Lineage: Eukaryota; Viridiplantae; Streptophyta; Magnoliopsida; Poales; Poaceae.
GAUGCUACAUCAGAUUCUGUCCAUCGUAGCAAAACAGGAGGAGCCAAUUUAUGAUGUUUUUGUUGACGUUUCGUAUGCGUCAUAGAUACAAUAAGGAACGUCACUAGUCACGGUUUAUGACGCUCGAUUAAUAACGGGGGAUUUUUGUCACUCGAGCAUCAUAAAUCACAAUUUAUGACAAAAAAUAUGCUUAUGACACGUUUUGAUUUGUCAUAGACCAGAAUAUUUCUUAUAGUACUCGCCGUCGUGCCGUCUGCAUGCCUCCCACUACGGCCCCCUUCCCCGACCUUCCUAACCAGUACACUGCCUCGCCCCCGCCGCCGACACCGGCUGUCGGACAUCCUCCACCACCCUACCGGUGGAGUCAUCGCUGCCUGGCCUCGCCGCCCGCAACCCACGCUCCUCCGCCGGGCAUGCCGCUGCUGUCGGACAACCCUUUAGGCCCGCUGAUCAUGGUGCCUCCCUCACAAUCACGAACCCAGGGAACCCAGAAACCAGGACCCCGCCAGCCUCCACCGCCAUCCGCAGCUGGCCGCCCCCGCCCACCUCCCGCCCGCAGGCCACGGUCAUCUUUCUUUUGCCAUUGUUACUUUCUGUAUGUCAUGUUACUUUAAUAGUCAUCAAUGUAACAAAAAGGGGUCUUUGGUUAACUUCAAUGGAGACGCUUCUCCAUAUAGCUUUUGCGUAAAACGAAUUCAGCUCACCAGCUCGCUCAUACCCGUUCAAGCACCAGCAGAAUUCAGCUCACCAAGCACCUCACAUGCCUUGGAGACAUUCUUUAUGGUCCGUGAUUUGGCCUCUCCCGCCGUCGUCUACGUGCCUGGCCAUCCCCACCAGAUAGCGCAAUCCUUCCUUGUAAUCC